Molecule: ribosomal RNA, 463 nt
Filed under: uncultured Acidobacteriota bacterium
Lineage: Bacteria; Pseudomonadati; Acidobacteriota
Description: bacterial SSU rRNA
Rfam family: Bacterial small subunit ribosomal RNA
Source: RNAcentral
GAGGAAGUCGCGGCUGAUUAGCUAGUUGGCGGGGUAAUGGCCCACCAAGGCUUAGAUCGGUAGCCGGCCUGAGAGGGCGCACGGCCACACUGGAACUGAAACACGGUCCAGACUCCUACGGGAGGCAGCAGUGGGGAAUUUUGCGCAAUGGGGGAAACCCUGACGCAGCAACGCCGCGUGAAGGAUGAAGUCCCUUGGGAUGUAAACUCCUUUCGACCAAGACGAUAAUGACGGUACUGGUGGAAGAAGCACCGGCUAACUCUGUGCCAGCAGCCGCGGUAAUACAGAGGGUGCGAGCGUUGUUCGGAAUUAUUGGGCGUAAAGGGCGCGUAGGCGGUGCGGUAAGUCACCUGUGAAAUCUCCUGGCUCAACUGGGAGCUUGCAGGCGAAACUGCCGUGCUAGAGUGUGGGAGAGGUGCGCGGAAUUCCCGGUGUAGCGGUGAAAUGCGUAGAUAUCGGGAGG